RNAcentral lists this ribosomal RNA (441 nucleotides) under uncultured eukaryote. RNAcentral's name for it is "SSU rRNA". It matches the Rfam family "Eukaryotic small subunit ribosomal RNA", at positions 755 to 1209 of the family's 1831-position model. The record is from RNAcentral.
CUGUGAUUAAAAUAGAGUGCUCAAAGCAGGCUUGUGCUUGAAUAUUUCAGCAUGGAAUAAUAAAAGACGACUUCAGUCAAUUUAUUGGUUAUUGGCAGAAGUAAUGAUUAACAGAAACAGUUGGGGGCAUCCGUAUUUGAUAGUCAGAGGUGAAAUUCUUAGAUUUAUCAAAGACGAACUAAUGCGAAAGCAUUUUGCCAAGAAUGUUUUCAUUAAUCAAGAACGAAAGUUAGGGGAUCCAAGACGAUUAGAUACCGUCGUAGUCCUAACCAUAAACUAUACCGACUAGGGAUUGGAAGGCUACGUACCUUUCAGCACCUAAUGAGAAAUCAAAGUCUUUGGGUUCUUGGGGGAGGUAUGGUCGCAAGGCUGAACUUAAAGGAAUUGACGGAAGGGCACUACCAGGAGUGGAUUCUGCGGCUUAAUUUGAUUCAACACGGG